Molecule: long non-coding RNA, 2076 nt
Organism: Callithrix jacchus (white-tufted-ear marmoset)
Lineage: Eukaryota; Metazoa; Chordata; Mammalia; Primates; Cebidae
Source: RefSeq, a predicted model, not a curated record
UCCAAACCUCCAGGGGUGGGGCCCAGCAUUCUGUGUUUAACACAUCUCCAGGGAAAUGUGACAUUCCAUGGAAUUUUGGAGCCACCUCUCCACACCCCAAAGGUAUACUUUACACACAGCUCUCGUAUAGCUUUAUGUAAGUUAGUUAACUGCUCCAUGACUUCGUGUCCUCAUCUAUAAAGUAGAUUAAUGAUGGAGUCUAGCUCUGUGGCCUGGCUGGAGUGCAGUGGCAUGAUCUCGGCUCACUACAACCUCUACUUCCCUGGAUCAAGUGAUUCUUCUGCCUCAGCUUCCCCAGUAGCUGGGACUACAGAACUUCUAACUAUUUUGAUAACUCACAAAGCUAAAAAUGUUCAAUGUUUAGGAAAACACCAGAGAACUUUUUAAAAUUCAUGGUACCCCAAAGGCUGACAGCAAGAAUAUACUUUCUGGUACAUAAGAAAGAAAAAUGUAUUUGGUAUGACUGGCUGUUAAUAUGUCAUCAAGAUAAAUCAUAAGUCUUAUUCUUGGGAAUCUUAAUAAAAGAAGUCACUUGAGACAUGGAAAGUACAAAAAUAAUCACCAGGAGGCUCUACCUUUGACUAGAACCUGGGGAAAUUUUAAAAGUGUUCAUUCACAGAGACACUUAAAAAGACAUUGCCCAAAUUUAUCAGUGUCAUUAAUUUUGGUGACUAAAAAGUUUCCUUAGAGUAAUUUACAAUGCCAUCAUAAAAUACUUCAUCAAAAGGAAAUGCUUAGAUUUAAUACAAAACCGUAAACUCCCAAGGACUCUGGGACAAUGGUCUCAGCCAGUCUCCUGAGAAGAUGGAGUGAUCUAUGGCUUCCAUGUGCCUCAGGAAUUGGUCUCACCCUCAUCUAACGUUCCUGCCCUUUAGGUUGUCACAUGGCUCUGGGGUGUUUGUUUCCUUCUGGGACUCCAGAAAGAAAUGUGCUUUGAAACAACACUCUGAUCCUUCACUGUCUAUCUGAGGGGAGCAAGGGCAGGAGGAAUGCUGUCUUCUGGACACCGUAACUGGGUGAUGGAACGAAGUAAACAUGAUUAGUACAGCAAACACCCUGCGUCCACAUUCCAGCCUUGCGGUUGGAAGGAGCUAGUCCUCUCUAAAUGUUUUUGGGCACCUCAGUCAAUCAAGGCAAUUGGUUUCACUUCGUCUUAAGGUCAAGAAAGCUGUUAGCUACUGGGCCCUUCACAUGGCAAAAGAAGUCUAUAUACUAAAGAACAGAACCACCAGCUUUCCAUUUUUCUGCUAUUCUUCCCUACAAGCUCCUAAGGCAAUUAAUCCAAACUCUGGCACCAACCCUGAUGAAUUGGUGUGCUCCAGCUCUGCAUUCCCACUGCUGUCCAUGCCUCCUUCCAGGUGUUCUUGCUUUUAAUUUGUUUUGCUAAAGUAAAACUCCUUGUCUUCCUCCAUAAUUUUUCUGUUCGGUCAAGGCUUCACCAUUUACUUGGAUUCAAAACCUCUCUCUCAGCUGUACACAACCAUCCAAGUUGUACACAACCAGCUUCUUAAACACCCUCACUCUCCUCCCAUGUGCAAUCUCAUUUGCAAAGGGCUGGGCCAGCCAGACAUCUCACUUUACUCACCAGAAUCUUUAAUCUACUUUUGGUCUCUACCUGGAAAAAAAAAUUCUGCACAACAUUACCAAAUAAAUCUGCCAAAAGCACAGCUCUCCUGAUGUCACUCAGACACUCAGAACUUCUCAAUCAUUUCAGAUCUUCUACCAAAAGUAGUUCACACUUUUUAUCUAGCUUUGGCCUCUGUUGUGAUAACUAGCUAUGCAGCCUCACUUCUCACUAUUUCAAGCCACACAUAGAUGCACGAAAUGUCCCGACAUUACACCUCACAGUCGCUUCUGUUGCCAUUGUUCUUGCUCCUUCCUUGGCCUGGAAGGACCUGUCUCUGCUGCUACUGGUUAAAUUUCAACCAUUCUUUCCAACUAAAGUACAACAUUCUCUCCCAAGAAUUCCUUUACACUCUCACCAUCAGAAAAGCUGUUUUGUUUUUCUGUGGAAUCCUGACUAUAUCAGACUGACUGCAUUUUGCUAUAGUCUAUUAUUUUGUACAUAUAUUUUAU